Molecule: long non-coding RNA, 241 nt
Organism: Meriones unguiculatus (Mongolian gerbil)
Lineage: Eukaryota; Metazoa; Chordata; Mammalia; Rodentia; Muridae
Exons: 2
Source: RefSeq, a predicted model, not a curated record
GCCUGCAGACCCAGAUCCUUCUCUAGCGCCGCGUCUGCCUCUGUGCUGACAUGCUUUCUACCAUGAUGGUCAUGGACUAAAUCUCUGAACUGAUGUUGUGGCUUGUACCCUGCUGUGCUCUCCUCCUCGUUAUGGACCCACACCUCCGAGCUGGUGAUCCAAAGGAAGGAAUUCCUCCUUUAAACUGUUACGGAUCACACAUUUGUCACAGUGCCAAUAAAAGUGAAAGCUUUGAACAUAA